AGGAAUAUUGGUCAAUGGGCGAGAGCCUGAACCAGCCAAGUAGCGUGAAGGAUGACUGCCCUAUGGGUUGUAAACUUCUUUUAUAAAGGAAUAAAGUCGGGUAUGGAUACCCGUUUGCAUGUACUUUAUGAAUAAGGAUCGGCUAACUCCGUGCCAGCAGCCGCGGUAAUACGGAGGAUCCGAGCGUUAUCCGGAUUUAUUGGGUUUAAAGGGAGCGUAGAUGGAUGUUUAAGUCAGUUGUGAAAGUUUGCGGCUCAACCGUAAAAUUGCAGUUGAUACUGGAUAUCUUGAGUGCAGUUGAGGCAGGCGGAAUUCGUGGUGUAGCGGUGAAAUGCUUAGAUAUCACGAAGAACUCCGAUUGCGAAGGCAGCCUGCUAAGCUGCAACUGACAUUGAGGCUCGAAAGUGUGGGUAUCAAACAGGAUUAGAUACCCUGGUAGUCCACACGGUAAACGAUGAAUACUCGCUGUUUGCGAUAUACAGCAAGCGGCCAAGCGAAAGCGUUAAGUAUUCCACCUGGGGAGUACGCCGGCAACGGUGAAACUCAAAGGAAUUGACGGGGGCCCGCACAAGCGGAGGAACAUGUGGUUUAAUUCGAUGAUACGCGAGGAACCUUACCCGGGCUUAAAUUGCAGAUGAAUUACGGUGAAAGCCGUAAGCCGCAAGGCAUCUGUGAAGGUGCUGCAUGGUUGUCGUCAGCUCGUGCCGUGAGGUGUCGGCUUAAGUGCCAUAACGAGCGCAACCCUUGUUGUCAGUUACUAACAGGUUCUGCUGAGGACUCUGGUGGGACUGCCAGCGUAAGCUGCGAGGAAGGUGGGGAUGACGUCAAAUCAGCACGGCCCUUACGUCCGGGGCUACACACGUGUUACAAUGGGGGGUACAGAGGGCCGCUACCACGCGAGUGGAUGCCAAUCCCCAAAACCUCUCUCAGUUCGGACUGGAGUCUGCAACCCGACUCCACGAAGCUGGAUUCGCUAGUAAUCGCGCAUCAGCCACGGCGCGGUGAAUACGUUCCCG
This 1016-nucleotide ribosomal RNA is filed under the name uncultured bacterium. RNAcentral's name for it is "bacterial SSU rRNA". It matches the Rfam family "Bacterial small subunit ribosomal RNA", at positions 357 to 1376 of the family's 1533-position model. The record is from RNAcentral.